AGAGUUUGAUCCUGGCUCAGAUUGAACGCUGGCGGCAUGCCUUACACAUGCAAGUCGAACGGUAACAGGCCGCAAGGUGCUGACGAGUGGCGAACGGGUGAGUAAUGCAUCGGAACGUGCCCAGUAGUGGGGGAUAGCCCGGCGAAAGCCGGAUUAAUACCGCGUACGACCUACGGGUGAAAGCGGGGGACCGAAAGGCCUCGCGCUAUUGGAGCGGCCGAUGUCAGAUUAGGUAGUUGGUGGGGUAAAGGCCUACCAAGCCUACGAUCUGUAGCUGGUCUGAGAGGACGACCAGCCACACUGGGACUGAGACACGGCCCAGACUCCUACGGGAGGCAGCAGUGGGGAAUUUUGGACAAUGGGCGCAAGCCUGAUCCAGCCAUGCCGCGUGCGGGAAGAAGGCCUUCGGGUUGUAAACCGCUUUUGUCAGGGAAGAAAUCUUCUGGGUUAAUACCUCGGGAGGAUGACGGUACCUGAAGAAUAAGCACCGGCUAACUACGUGCCAGCAGCCGCGGUAAU
Molecule: ribosomal RNA, 519 nt
Filed under: uncultured bacterium
Lineage: Bacteria
Description: bacterial SSU rRNA
Rfam family: Bacterial small subunit ribosomal RNA
Source: RNAcentral